RNAcentral lists this long non-coding RNA (1212 nucleotides) under Homo sapiens (human). RNAcentral describes it as "HSALNT0330816". Lineage: Eukaryota; Metazoa; Chordata; Mammalia; Primates; Hominidae. The record is from RNAcentral.
CUCCAACAACCCCCAAACCCAGUCCUCACCUCCCACAUGCUUUUCAUCACCCGCUCUCACAUCCCAUCUGGGGCCUCUGCUUCCAUCCUACCAUUUCGCAAGCCUGGCCAACUCAAGCUCCGUGUGCUGCACCUAGAGCAGCCCAUCUCUGUGUCAGGGAGGUGAGCUGCUCAGUUGCCAGAGUAUCAACCUGAGCCCAGGACACUGCCAGACUGCUGAGUCAAAGAGGGUUUAGCAGCCCAUUUUCAUAGACAGACAGGUGAGAGGAGGAUGCUGGACAUGGUCCCAGAGACAUGGGGACUCAAGAAACAUGAAGAUCUGUUCACAGCUAAGGGCACAUUUCCAUGCCGAGAAAUCAGGCGUGAGCGCAAGAGUCCUAUCGUCUACCAGAAAAAGAAAUCUUUGGGAGCAUUCAAGGAGGAAUGGCUUCAUGAUGGCAAUGAGCGGCAUCGCCUGAAAGACAGCCUUCGAGAGUCUCCCAGAGCCGCUGAGGAGCAAGGCAGAGAACUGCAAUCCAAGCAAAUGUGGUGGGUGUGAAGCUUUCAAGAAGUUGGGUCAAGAACAAGGACUGAAAGAGGAGCAUCAAUUUAUGGGGGCCACUGAGGCUUUCAGAGAUUUUGUGACCUACCAAACUGGCACAGCUAGUAAAUGGAUGACAAGCCAUUAACAUGGAAAGAAGAAGAGGCAUCCAAAGUGUUGGGUCCGCAUCGCCCUUGCCUUGGAGGAAGCUCCAAAUAGAGGGAAGGAUGGUUUCCAGCAGUCCCUGAAGUGCCUUUCCUCCUUCGUGGGAUCCAGUUACACCCAGCAGACUUCAGUUUGAAUAAACAGAACUAGAUGAAUACACCUAGGGAAUCUGUGAGGCCAGCCUCAGCUUUUAACAUCCAGCUACAGGGAGGCUCUCGCUCACCGGGAGAUUAACCCGCCAGGCUGCUGAGUGAGAGGGGACAGAGUAGGCCCUGACGGGAGGCCUGGGACGCAGGGGAAAUCAAAACAAGUCCACCUGCUUAAGGAGACUGCCGCACUGUGACCUCGUCCUCCGGACAUCUGUGGCAAGUGUUACCGCAGCCACUGAUGUGGCGCACUGGGCCAUUUACAGCUGCCUCAUGAUAUUCUUUUUCACGACUGUGUUUACACUAUUGUUUAACAACUUUGUAUAACAAUCUCUUUUCACUCCAAAUAAACCUUAGUGCCUGGAAGGCCAAGAGUAUCUUC